UCCUUGAUAGUCUAGUGGUCAGGAUAUCUGCUUGUCAUCGUUCUCAAUCGAAUGAGCUCGCAGGGGACCUGGGUUCAAUUCCCAGUCAGGGAG
This 93-nucleotide transfer RNA is filed under the name Colletotrichum incanum. It matches the Rfam family "tRNA". From Rfam's summary of the family: Transfer RNA (tRNA) molecules are approximately 80 nucleotides in length. Their secondary structure includes four short double-helical elements and three loops (D, anti-codon, and T loops). Lineage: Eukaryota; Fungi; Ascomycota; Sordariomycetes; Glomerellales; Glomerellaceae. The record is from Rfam by way of RNAcentral.